UGAGUGUUGCAAGGUUGGUGGUCAGUUACCAUCAAAGGUCAAGUUAAGUAAUCUCAACAUUUCCCUGAAUUUUGGACUCUAUUAAUAAGUUAAUGAAAUGGUAAUGUGUGCAAGUGGAUUUCAUGUACUAAUUAAUUCCUACUUAGAAUUCAAAUUAGCUACAUAUUAGUUUUCAAGAGCACUACUUUGAAAGGGAAACACUUAGAUAGCUAUGAGCAGUUUCUUUGCAUCAAAUGAUUAUUAGCUUACAUGUUAGAUAGCUUUGAUGUGAGUAAUGAUAAGUUUUACAAUAGUGGAAAAGGCAACAGAGGGAUUUCUUAUUCUUCUUUGUUGUAUGUAUGUUAGCACAUUGUUAUGAAUUCUGGUCAUAGAUUGGUGAAUAUGCUGCUACUGGUAGAUAAUCUUGGUUGUAUUUAAAUGGUUAAUCAUUGGGCUUAAUUAACUUAGUCCCUUUUGAAUAUGAAACUAGCACAUACCUAUUUUCUCCACUGUAUUGAAAAGAGAAUUACAUUCCAGAUAGUAUAAGAAUAGAUGGGUUGUUGGUACAUUUUUUGGAUGCCUUGGCUUGCUUGAGUACCAGCAUGUUGGUUAAUGAUUAGAUACAUUAUACUUGUUAGUUACACAUAAUUCUUUACAUAGCAUAUGCUGCUUGAAUGCUUUUCUCUAUUUCUACAAUGAUGCCUUGUGAUUUUUUAUGUGAAGGACAUCAGGGUUUCAGAGAAUUCAGUCACAGAUACAGGCAAAGGUGGCAUUCCUAUAUUUAUGUUGAUUGCACGUACAUUUGACAAAAGUGAAAAUCCUUAACGGGGGUAACGUCAGGAUUCGUGAGCCUAAAGGAUCUGAAAUCAGAAUACGGAAUGAAGUCACGUGUAUUAGAAAGCAAUUCAAUUCAUAAAGCACAAUCUGAGGAAGGUGCUUCUGCGAAAUUUAUAACUUGAAUUGUGUGCACCAAAUAUAUGAAUUGUUGGGCUUAGUUCAUCGUCGGGAAGUUUAUCAUUUUGCUGGUUUGCCCUUGUUUUUAGAAACUUUGAAUUUACAAGGACUUGUAGCACAUCUUUGAAUAAACCUUCAACUUACUAGUACUUGUAUUAUAGUGAAUAGCAUGCCGA
Molecule: long non-coding RNA, 1109 nt
Organism: Papaver somniferum (opium poppy)
Lineage: Eukaryota; Viridiplantae; Streptophyta; Magnoliopsida; Ranunculales; Papaveraceae
Exons: 5
Source: RefSeq, a predicted model, not a curated record